Molecule: ribosomal RNA, 374 nt
Filed under: uncultured organism
Description: partial 16S ribosomal RNA
Rfam family: Bacterial small subunit ribosomal RNA
Source: RNAcentral
GUAGGUGGCAAGCGUUGUCCGGAAUUAUUGGGCGUAAAGCGCGCGCAGGUGGUUCUUUAAGUCUGAUGUGAAAGCCCCCGGCUCAACCGGGGAGGGUCAUUGGAAACUGGGGAACUUGAGUGCAGGAGAGGAAAGUGGAAUUCCACGUGUAGCGGUGAAAUGCGUAGAUAUGCGGAGGAACACCAGUGGCGAAGGCGACUUUCUGGCCUGUAACUGACACUGAGGCGCGAAAGCGUGGGGAGCAAACAGGGAUUAGAUACCCUGGUAGUCCACGCCGUAAACGAUGAGUGCUAAGUGUUGGGGGGGUUUCCCGCCCCUCAGUGCUGCAGCUAACGCAUUAAGCACUCCGCCUGGGGAGUACGGUCGCAAGACUG